Molecule: ribosomal RNA, 501 nt
Filed under: uncultured bacterium
Lineage: Bacteria
Description: bacterial SSU rRNA
Rfam family: Bacterial small subunit ribosomal RNA
Source: RNAcentral
AGAGUUUGAUCAUGGCUCAGGACGAACGCUGGCGGCGUGCUUAACACAUGCAAGUCGAACGAUGAACCACUUCGGUGGGGAUUAGUGGCGAACGGGUGAGUAACACGUGGGCAAUCUGCCCUUCACUCUGGGACAAGCCCUGGAAACGGGGUCUAAUACCGGAUACCACUCCUGCUCGCAUGGGCGGGGGUUGAAAGCUCCGGCGGUGAAGGAUGAGCCCGCGGCCUAUCAGCUUGUUGGUGAGGUAACGGCUCACCAAGGCGACGACGGGUAGCCGGCCUGAGAGGGCGACCGGCCACACUGGGACUGAGACACGGCCCAGACUCCUACGGGAGGCAGCAGUGGGGAAUAUUGCACAAUGGGCGCAAGCCUGAUGCAGCGACGCCGCGUGAGGGAUGACGGCCUUCGGGUUGUAAACCUCUUUCAGCAGGGAAGAAGCGCAAGUGACGGUACCUGCAGAAGAAGCGCCGGCUAACUACGUGCCAGCCGCCGCGGUAAUUC